AUACGGAGGAUCCAAGCGUUAUCCGGAAUCAUUGGGUUUAAAGGGUCCGUAGGCGGGUUUGCAAGUCAGUGGUGAAAGUUUUCGGCUCAACCGGAAAAUUGCCAUUGAUACUGCAGGUCUUGAAUUAUUGUGAAGUGACUAGAAUGUGUAGUGUAGCGGUGAAAUGCAUAGAUAUUACACAGAAUACCGAUUGCGAAGGCAGAUCACUAACAAUAUAUUGACGCUAAGGGACGAAAGCGUGGGUAGCGAACAGGAUUAGAAACCCUAGUAGUCC
Molecule: ribosomal RNA, 274 nt
Filed under: uncultured bacterium
Lineage: Bacteria
Description: partial 16S ribosomal RNA
Rfam family: Bacterial small subunit ribosomal RNA
Source: RNAcentral